AUAGGAUUUACCGAACGGAUUAUAAUUAUGUUGCUCGUAUGCCAAACCAACUACCAAAGAGUUGGACCACCUGGAAGUGGAGUGUGUCACUUGUUAACCCUAUUGACCUCGUUAACAAGCUCUAACCGCAACAUUCUAAAUGGUCGGCUAAUGGCUGCCGUUCGUAUGGACGAACACAUGGCAACGGCCAUCUUUAGCCGCGAACACAUACCUCAAGUUCAUAGAACUAUAAUCGGACACCCGAUGGCGCGAAUACCGCUGGGACUUCCAUCUCUUUGUACGCUCUUUGUAAGCUGGAUUCACUUGAGAAGAGCAACGUUCGGUGGAAACACACUCCCGAACAAGGGCCACAGACUAAGUGUACAUACGAACUGGUUGCAUUCAUAUUUCUGAUGUAUCGUGAACUCCCGAAAGAAACCGACUGCACAGCCUGAUUUCAUGGAACUCUUUUGGGGGAAUGGGCCUCAUGUGCGGUUGGUCAAAUUAUGACCUCCAUGGAAAUCCCGAACCCCUGAGCUGAACUGCCUGAUUUUUGGAUAUGUUAGUCCCCCAGAUCUGGGCUAUCAGGGGAUGUGACUUUUAUGGGGUUUCCAUGUGUUUUGGGGGGGUACUUUCGGGAGGUUGUUAAAAUGUAUAUUUUCUGUGCCUGGAGAUAAUUGAGUUUAUUACAGUUCCUG
Molecule: non-coding RNA, 677 nt
Organism: Pelobates cultripes (western spadefoot toad)
Lineage: Eukaryota; Metazoa; Chordata; Amphibia; Anura; Pelobatidae
Source: the annotation of a GenBank genome assembly